AUUGAACGCUGGCGGCAGGCUUAACACAUGCAAGUCGAGCGGGGUGAUGGUGCUUGCACUAUCACUUAGCGGCGGACGGGUGAGUAAUGCUUAGGAAUCUGCCUAUUAGUGGGGGACAACAUCUCGAAGGGGAUGCUAAUACCGCAUACGUCCUACGGGAGAAAGCAGGGGAUCACUUGUGACCUUGCGCUAAUAGAUGAGCCUAAGUCGGAUUAGCUAGUUGGUGGGGUAAAGGCCUACCAAGGCGACGAUCUGUAGCGGGUCUGAGAGGAUGAUCCGCCACACUGGGACUGAGACACGGCCCAGACUCCUACGGGAGGCAGCAGUGGGGAAUAUUGGACAAUGGGGGGAACCCUGAUCCAGCCAUGCCGCGUGUGUGAAGAAGGCCUUAUGGUUGUAAAGCACUUUAAGCGAGGAGGAGGCUCUUUUGGUUAAUACCCAAGAUGAGUGGACGUUACUCGCAGAAUAAGCACCGGCUAACUCUGUGCCAGCCGCCGCGGUAA
This 503-nucleotide ribosomal RNA is filed under the name uncultured bacterium. RNAcentral describes it as "partial 16S ribosomal RNA". It matches the Rfam family "Bacterial small subunit ribosomal RNA", at positions 30 to 523 of the family's 1533-position model. The record is from RNAcentral.